GGAUGGAAGCAACACGGCUUGUUUUCCUUCAAAGUUGUCACGGACGAGCGUCAGACGUACGCUGGUGCGAAAACCGCCUGUGCCGCGGAGGAGGGCGCUUGGCUUGCCAUCGUAAAGGACCAGGCGACUCACGAUUUCAUCGUGGCCAUCCAAAGCCAGCAGGAAGAAACCGCGGAUGUCUUCAUAGGGUUGAACGACAUUGCAACGGAAGGGAGUUAUUUAUGGGAGGACGGCAGCCCUAUUGGUGAUUUUCAUCCAUGGACACCGGGACAGCCCAACAACUAUAACCAACAAGACUGUAUUGCCGUCACACAUCAAAACGAUGACCCCCUGAGCCAGUGGUGCGAUGACUCUUGUGAUGUCCAACAGGGAUACGUCUGCCAGAAAAAGACCAUCACCAGGAAGUGCGAAGUGUUCGCUUCAGGAAUUGGGGGUGAGGUGCAGAGUCCACAAUAUCCGGAG
Long non-coding RNA from Branchiostoma belcheri (Belcher's lancelet), 462 nucleotides. RefSeq lists it as uncharacterized. NCBI's taxonomy places the organism in Eukaryota, Metazoa, Chordata, Leptocardii, Amphioxiformes, Branchiostomatidae. The transcript has 3 exons. The record is from RefSeq and is a predicted model, not a curated record.